CUGCAGUGCUUAUGGAAGGCAUUUGCUACAUGGUUUUGGAGAUGGAAAGUUGCUUUGGCAGUGACAGCUCAAGGUGAUCAAUGUUCAAUGCAUAGAGCAAGAUCUGCCUGAUUCUAGAGAUGGUCAUGCAAAAUGAUCCAGAGAGAGGCAUUCUGUUUGUAGAACGCUGUUUACAGCACCUGCUUUGAAGUCCAGUGCUCAGUGCUGCCUCCAUCCCAGUCUUUACUGGUAAGAUCGGCCUUCAGGAUCCCAGGCCCAAGGCCAGUGGGAAAAUCUGGAGUGAAGAAGACUGACCUGCUUGGUGGAUAAAGAACAGUUUAGGAGCAGGAACUGGCCAUAUAUUGUGAUGACUGGCUCAUCUGGAAUGCAUGCUACAAAUUGUGCAAGGGUCUCUUUGGAGAAGGAAAUGGGGGAACCAAGACCAGUCAUUCUGAAAUUGCCCUUUCAAGAUUCAAAG
Catharus ustulatus (Swainson's thrush) is the source of this 457-nucleotide long non-coding RNA. RefSeq lists it as uncharacterized. The record is from RefSeq and is a predicted model, not a curated record. NCBI's taxonomy places the organism in Eukaryota, Metazoa, Chordata, Aves, Passeriformes, Turdidae. The transcript is spliced from 4 exons.